GACGGGCCCGCACAAGCAGCGGAGCGUGUGGUUUAAUUCGAUGCUACACGAAGAACCUUACCUGGGUUUGACAUGUACGUAGUAGUGAACCGAAAGGGAACGAGCCUUCGGGCAGCGUACACAGGUGCUGCAUGGCUGUCGUCAGCUCGUGCCGUGAGGUGUUGGGUUAAGUCCCGCAACGAGCGCAACCCUCAUCGCUAGUUACAUGUGUCUAGCGAGACUGCGGGUUAACCCUGGAGAAGGUGGGGAUGACGUCAAGUCAGCAUGGCCUUUAUGCCCAGGGCUACACACACGCUACAAUGGUCGGUACAAUGGGAUGCCAAGCCGUGAGGCGGAGCAAAUCCUCAAAGCCGGCCUCAGUUCGAAUUGGAGGCUGCAACUCGCCUCCAUGAAGUCGGAGUUGCUAGUAACCGCAGGUCAGCUAUACUGCGGUGAAUACGUUCCCGGGGCUU
RNAcentral lists this ribosomal RNA (452 nucleotides) under uncultured Caldilineaceae bacterium. RNAcentral describes it as "bacterial SSU rRNA". It matches the Rfam family "Bacterial small subunit ribosomal RNA", at positions 917 to 1381 of the family's 1533-position model. The record is from RNAcentral. Lineage: Bacteria; Bacillati; Chloroflexota; Caldilineae; Caldilineales; Caldilineaceae.